Molecule: signal recognition particle RNA, 177 nt
Rfam family: Bacterial large signal recognition particle RNA
About the family: The signal recognition particle (SRP) is a universally conserved ribonucleoprotein involved in the co-translational targeting of proteins to membranes. Archaeal SRP consists of a 7S RNA and homologues of the eukaryotic SRP19 and SRP54 proteins.
CCAUGCUAAGCGGGAAAUUAGCGAUGUCCUGUACCUGCAAUUCGCUAGAGCAGGGCUGAAUUCUCUGUCGAGGAUUUUAUUUUUGCAGACUGCCCCUUAUAAGUGGUGUUGAUAAUUGGGUCCUGCGCAACAGAAACUUAUGAACCGUGUCAGGUCCUGAUCGAAGCAGCACUAAGU